Molecule: ribosomal RNA, 666 nt
Filed under: uncultured bacterium
Lineage: Bacteria
Description: bacterial SSU rRNA
Rfam family: Bacterial small subunit ribosomal RNA
Source: RNAcentral
UGCAAGUCGCACGGGGCCCGCAAGGGUCCAGUGGCGAACGGGUGAGUAAUGAAUCGCUAAUGUACCCCGGACUCUGAGAUAGCUACCCGAAAGGGUAGGUAAUAUCAGAUGACAUAACCGAUCCGCAUGGGUUGGUUCUCAAAGGUCCGCCGGUCUGGGAGCAGGCGAUUUCGUAUCAGCUAGUUGGUGAAGUAACGGCUCACCAAGGCGACGACGCGUAGCCGGACUGAGAGGUUGGCCGGCCACAUUGGGACUGAGACACUGCCCAGACUCCUACGGGAGGCUGCAGUAACGAAUAUUCCGCAAUGGGCGCAAGCCUGACGGAGCAAUGCCGCGUGUAGGAUGAAGCCCCUCGGGGUGUAAACUACUGUCAGGGGCUACCGAAUAAAUGAGGAGCCCCAGAGGAAGGGCCGGCUAACUCUGUGCCAGCAGCCGCGGUAAUACAGAGGGCCCAAGCGUUAAUCGGAAUCACUGGGCUUAAAGGGUGCGCAGGCGGACCUGUAAGUGCUUUGUGAAAUCCCACUGCUCAACGGUGGAAUUGCUCGGCAAACUACAGGUCUUGAGCCCGACAGGGGUCGUCGGAACGCUAGGUGGAGCGGUGAAAUGCGUAGAUAUCUAGCGGAACGCCAAGGUGAAGACAGACGACUGGGUCGGCGCUGACGCUCA